GAUGAAGAACGUAGCGAAAUGCGAUAAGUAAUGUGAAUUGCAGAAUUCAGUGAAUCAUCGAAUCUUUGAACGCACAUUGCGCCCGCCAGUAUUCUGGCGGGCAUGUCUGUUCGAGCGUCAUUUCAACCCUCAAGCCCCCGGGCUUGGUGUUGGGGAUCGGCGUGCCCUCGCGGCGCGCCGUCCCCUAAAUCUAGUGGCGGUCUCGCUGUAGCUUCCUCUGCGUAGUAGCAACACUCGCACUGGAUCGCAGCGCGGCCACGCCGUUAAACCCCCCACUUCUGAAAGUUUGACCUCGGAUCAGGUAGGAAUACCCGCUGAACUUAAGCAUAUCAAUAAGCGGAGGA
This 344-nucleotide unclassified non-coding RNA is filed under the name soil metagenome. RNAcentral describes it as "partial contains 5.8S ribosomal RNA, internal transcribed spacer 2, and large subunit ribosomal RNA". The stretch from base 1 to 120 matches the Rfam family "5.8S ribosomal RNA", at positions 35 to 154 of the family's 154-position model. The record is from RNAcentral.